Molecule: ribosomal RNA, 256 nt
Filed under: uncultured Gardnerella sp.
Lineage: Bacteria; Bacillati; Actinomycetota; Actinomycetes; Bifidobacteriales; Bifidobacteriaceae
Description: partial 16S ribosomal RNA
Rfam family: Bacterial small subunit ribosomal RNA
Source: RNAcentral
CGAACGGGUGAGUAAUGCGUGACCAACCUGCCCCAUGCUCCAGAAUAGNUCUUGGAAACGGGUGGUAAUGCUGGAUGCUCCAACUUGACGCAUGUCUUGUUGGGAAAGUGUUUAGUGGCAUGGGAUGGGGUCGCGUCCUAUCAGCUUGUAGGCGGGGUAAUGGCCCACCUAGGCUUCGACGGGUAGCCGGCCUGAGAGGGCGGACGGCCACAUUGGGACUGAGAUACGGCCCAGACUCCUACGGGAGGCAGCAGGA